GACGAACGCUGGCGGCGUGCCUAAUACAUGCAAGUAGAACGCUGAAGCGAGGAGCUUCCUCUUCUUGGAUGAGUUGCGAACGGGUGAGUAACGCGUAGGUAACCUGCCUUGUAGCGGGGGAUAACUAUUGGAAACGAUAGCUAAUACCGCAUAACAAUGGAUGACACAUGUCCUUUAUUUGAAAGGGGCAAUUGCUCCACUACAAGAUGGACCUGCGUUGUAUUAGCUAGUAGGUGAGGUAAUGGCUCACCUAGGCGACGAUACAUAGCCGACCUGAGAGGGUGAUCGGCCACACUGGGACUGAGACACGGCCCAGACUCCUACGGGAGGCAGCAGUAGGGAAUCUUCGGCAAUGGGGGCAACCCUGACCGAGCAACGCCGCGUGAGUGAAGAAGGUUUUCGGAUCGUAAAGCUCUGUUGUAAGUCAAGAACGGGUGUGAGAGUGGAAAGUUCACACUGUGACGGUAGCUUACCAGAAAGGGACGGCUAACUACGUG
RNAcentral lists this ribosomal RNA (497 nucleotides) under uncultured bacterium. RNAcentral's name for it is "partial 16S ribosomal RNA". It matches the Rfam family "Bacterial small subunit ribosomal RNA", at positions 28 to 507 of the family's 1533-position model. The record is from RNAcentral.